GACGAAGGUGGCGAGCGUUGUUCGGAAUCACUGGGCAUAAAGCGCGCGUAGGCGGUCUAUUAAGUUGGAUGUGAAAUCCCUCGGCCCAACCGAGGAACUGCGUCCAAUACUGGUAGACUUGAGGGUUGGAGAGGUGCAGGGAAUUCCUGGUGGAGCGGUGAAAUGCGUUGAUAUCAGGAGGAACACCGGAGGCGAAGGCGCUGCACUGGCCAACUACUGACGCUGAGGUGCGAAAGCUAGGGGAGCGAAC
This 250-nucleotide ribosomal RNA is filed under the name uncultured bacterium. Its description in RNAcentral is "partial 16S ribosomal RNA". It matches the Rfam family "Bacterial small subunit ribosomal RNA", at positions 524 to 773 of the family's 1533-position model. The record is from RNAcentral.